CGCGGGCGACCCCGGGUACACCAUCCCCGACGAGAACCUGAAGUCGAAGAAGCUCAAGGGCGGCGUCUACCC
RNAcentral lists this transfer RNA (72 nucleotides) under Streptomyces sp. PVA_94-07. Lineage: Bacteria; Bacillati; Actinomycetota; Actinomycetes; Kitasatosporales; Streptomycetaceae. The record is from RNAcentral.